CCUCUCUGCUGACUGGAUCAAGGAGGAAUACUUGGAAUGAAGCCUCAUGAUAUACCUCCUAGCCUUCUUCUAAUCUGUGUCAAGAUUUUUCCCGGCAAACGGCAACAGCUCCAAGAACCUAUCUGUGUACUCAUCUACACUCAUCUCCUCUGUCUGCCUUAGCUGUUCGAACUCAAUCAUCUUCAACUCCCUUGAGCUAUCAGGGAAAGACCAUCCUGCAAACUCAUUAGCAAACUCCUCCCAUGAUAG
This 249-nucleotide long non-coding RNA is filed under the name Manihot esculenta (cassava). RNAcentral's name for it is "long non-coding RNA (MESC_LNC004848)". The record is from RNAcentral. Lineage: Eukaryota; Viridiplantae; Streptophyta; Magnoliopsida; Malpighiales; Euphorbiaceae.